GACAGAGGUGCCAAGCGUUAGGCGGAAUCACUGGGCUUAAAGCGUGUGUAGGCGGAUGCCUAAGUACUUUGUGAAAUCCCACGGCUCAACCGUGGAACUGCUUGGUAUACUGGGUGUCUUGAGCCACUUAGGGGUUACCGGAACAAACGGUGGAGCGGUGAAAUGCGUAGAUAUCGGCUGGAACUCCGGUGGCGAAGGCGAGAUGCCGGACCCUUUCUGACGCUGAGGCGCGAAAGCCAGGGGAGCGAACGGG
This 253-nucleotide ribosomal RNA is filed under the name uncultured bacterium. RNAcentral describes it as "partial 16S ribosomal RNA". It matches the Rfam family "Bacterial small subunit ribosomal RNA", at positions 524 to 776 of the family's 1533-position model. The record is from RNAcentral.